UCGAACGAACUCUGGUAUUGAUUGGUGCUUGCAUCAUGAUUUACAUUCGUUUGAGUGGCGAACUGGUGAGUAACACGUGGGAAACCUGCCCAGAAGCGGGGGAUAACACCUGGAAACAGAUGCUAAUACCGCAUAAUAACUUGGACCGCAUGGUCCGAGCUUGAAAGAUGGCUUCGGCUAUCACUUUUGGAUGGUCCCGCGGCGUAUUAGCUAGAUGGUGGGGUAACGGCUCACCAUGGCAAUGAUACGUAGCCGACCUGAGAGGGUAAUCGGCCACAUUGGGACUGAGACACGGCCCAAACUCCUACGGGAGGCAGCAGUAGGGAAUCUUCCACAAUGGACGAAAGUCUGAUGGAGCAACGCCGCGUGAGUGAAGAAGGGUUUCGGCUCGUAAAACUCUGUUGUUAAAGAAGAACAUAUCUGAGAGUAACUGUUCAGGUAUUGACGGUAUUUAACCAGAAAGCCACGGCUAACUACGUGCCAGCAGCCGCGGUAAUACGUAGGUGGCAAGCGUUGUCCGGAUUUAUUGGGCGUAAAGCGAGCGCAGGCGGUUUUUUAAGUCUGAUGUGAAAGCCUUCGGCUCAACCGAAGAAGUGCAUCGGAAACUGGGAAACUUGAGUGCAGAAGAGGACAGUGGAACUCCAUGUGUAGCGGUGAAAUGCGUAGAUAUAUGGA
Molecule: ribosomal RNA, 675 nt
Filed under: uncultured bacterium
Lineage: Bacteria
Description: bacterial SSU rRNA
Rfam family: Bacterial small subunit ribosomal RNA
Source: RNAcentral